GACGAACGCUGGCGGCGUGCUUAACACAUGCAAGUCGAACGGAAAGGCCCUGCUUUUGUGGGGUGCUCGAGUGGCGAACGGGUGAGUAACACGUGAGUAACCUGCCCUUGACUUUGGGAUAACUUCAGGAAACUGGGGCUAAUACCGGAUAGGAGCUCCUGCUGCAUGGUGGUGGUUGGAAAGUUUCGGCGGUUGGGGAUGGACUCGCGGCUUAUCAGCUUGUUGGUGGGGUAGCGGCUUACCAAGGCUUUGACGGGUAGCCGGCCUGAGAGGGUGACCGGCCACAUUGGGACUGAGAUACGGCCCAGACUCCUACGGGAGGCAGCAGUGGGGAAUAUUGCACAAUGGGCGGAAGCCUGAUGCAGCAACGCCGCGUGCGGGAUGACGGCCUUCGAGUUGUAAACCGCUUUCGCCUGUGACGAAGCGUGAGUGACGGUAAUGGGUAAAGAAGCACCGGCUAACUACGUG
Molecule: ribosomal RNA, 468 nt
Filed under: uncultured bacterium
Lineage: Bacteria
Description: partial 16S ribosomal RNA
Rfam family: Bacterial small subunit ribosomal RNA
Source: RNAcentral